Oncorhynchus nerka (sockeye salmon) is the source of this 2344-nucleotide long non-coding RNA. RefSeq lists it as uncharacterized. NCBI's taxonomy places the organism in Eukaryota, Metazoa, Chordata, Actinopteri, Salmoniformes, Salmonidae. The record is from RefSeq and is a predicted model, not a curated record. The transcript has 2 exons.
AACUCCUGGGCACAUCAGAGAAACAAACAGAAAAACAAAAGAUUGUUUAGCUAUGAGAAUGAGCUGUAGGAAUGAGAGAGAAGAGUGGGGCUCUUCUCAACUGUCUGUCCUAGCUCCCUUUUCAAAAUGCAAUGGAGAAGAUCCCUCCCGUCUGACACUUUCCUCCACUGCGUUUUGAUGAGGCAAGGAAUUGAGGAGAGACAAUGGAGAAAGAGCCUGGGAUUCCUGGUAAAGCACAGGAUUCAUGAGGACAGUGUGGAACAAGUAGUAGGUCAAAGAGAAAUCAGACGACUGACCUCGAUAUCUCCCUCCUGCAGUGGUCCACCAGUAUCUGGCAAGAUAAGACAGUACAACACCACUGGAAUUCAGUGUCAGGGAUAGAUAGUAUAGCCUAUUCAUAGACGCUAACAUCUAACAACCUACAUCACUAUACUGAGAGCAUGUCUGUUUCUAAAAGGACGUAUUUUGGUGUUUUUGGAGCUUGUUCAUGUCUUUUGCGUGCCCUGAUACCACACAAAGAGCAAUGAAGUGAAUAGCGGCUGAGGCUUCCAUGUCUUCUCCCUGGACCUCCUCAAUGUCCACCUCUUGAACAUCAGACUCUGAUGCCUCAUCUUCACUGUCACUUUCCAACCUUGUUGAGGAUGGCUCAUUGUCAGGCUCAUUGUCAGGCUCAAAAAGACUCAAAUUUGCCUGGAUGGCAACCAAUUUUUCAAACCUUGUAUUGGUCAGCCUGUUGCGUGCUUUGGUGUGUGUGUUCCCAAACAAGGACCAGUUGCACUCUGAGGCGGCUGAUGUUGGUGGGAUUUGGAGGAUGAUGGAGGCAAUGGGAAAGAGCCUCAGAUCCACAAAGUCCCCUCCACCAGGUAGCUGAUGAGAUAUGUUGGCACGACUGCCAUAUUGCAUCUCCAUCCCAAAGCUCUUGCUUGGAAGUGUACUUCGCCAGACUGUCAAGAACCGUGCCCUCAUCCAGGCCAAGGUGGCGAGACACGGUAGUGAUGACACCAUAGGCCUUGUUGAUCUCUGCACCAGACAGGAUGCUCUUGCCAGCAUACUUGGGGUCCAACAUGUAUGCUGCGGUGUGUAUGGGCUUCAAGCAGAAGUCUUCACACUUUUUGAUGUAUUUCAGAACUGCAGUUUGCUUGGAGCAACAGUGAAGUGGGCAGGGCAGUAUGGAUUUAUUCUCUUACAUCUGCAAGCAGAGUCUGAACAUCAGACAGGAUGGCAUUGUCUCCCUCAAUCCUUGCAAUUGCUACUGCUAUAGGUUUCAGGAGUUUCAGGCUGCUUACCACUCUCUCCAAAAAUACAUCAUCCAGGAGGAUCCUCUUGAUGGGGCUGUCCAUAUCGCCAGACUGUGAUUGGCCAUUUCUUGGAGAGACUCCUUCCCCUCCAGGAGACUGUCAAACAUGACAACACCACCCCAACGGGUGUUGCUGGGCUUCUUCAAUGUGGUGCUAUUUUCUUCUCACUUUGUUUGCAGCUAUAACUUGAUGACCCACAUACCUAAUCAUUUCCUUGGUUCUCUUGUAUCCAUUGUUUUCAGUGCCAUGAUGUCCUUGAGGAGCAGAUUCAAUGCAUGAGCAGCACAGCCAAUGGGUGUGAUGUGAGGGUAGGACUCCUCCACUUUAGACCAAGCGGCCUUCAUGUUCACAGCAUUGUCUGUCACCAGUGCAAAUACCUUCUGUGGUCCAAGGUCAUUGAUGACUGCCUUCAGCUCAUCUGCAAUGUAGAGACCGGUGGGUCUGUUGUCCCUCGUUUCUGUGCUCUUGUAGAAUACUGGUUGAGGGGUGGAGAUGAUGUAGUUAAUUAUUCCUUGCCCAUGAACAUUCGACCACCCAUCAGAGAUUAUUGCAAUACAGUCUACUUUCUCUAUGAUUUGCUUGACCUACACGAACUCUGUUGAACUCUGCAUCCAGCAAAUUAGUAGAUAAAGCAUGUCUGGUUGGAGGGGUGUAUGCUGGGAAAAGAACAUUCAGAAAUCUCUUCCAAUACACAUUGCCUGUGAGCAUCAGAGGUGAGCUAGUGGCAUACACAGCUCGAGCAAAACAUUCAUCAGCAUUUCUCUGAUUACGUUCCUCCAUUGAUUAAAAACAAACUUCUGAUUCCAGGAGGACCACGAGCUGUUGUUAUCGAUAAGGUGUCUGAUUCAUCAUUUUCACCUCAAAUAGAAGUAGAGGGACUUUUGUCAGAGGUUGCCUGUUGUGAGCGCUGAGGGAUCUUUAUGCAGAAGUUAGAGCAAAGCUGAAUCAAUGUCUUGCAAGAUCACAUAAUGAUUGCAUAAGAAAACUUAAUAUACAGUAAUACCAUAGCAUAGUAGGCCUAUAACGUUACUGUUACACCUAAAACA